AUGAUAUUAGUAUAAAAUAAAGUAUAUCUAUCUUCCAAAUAGACGGUCUUAUUAGAUAUCAUA
This 63-nucleotide transfer RNA is filed under the name Erpobdella sp. JP-2021. Its description in RNAcentral is "tRNA-Gly". Lineage: Eukaryota; Metazoa; Annelida; Clitellata; Hirudinida; Erpobdellidae. The record is from RNAcentral.